GCAGUAGCCGCGGUAAUACGUAGGUCCCGAGCGUUGUCCGGAUUUAUUGGGCGUAAAGCGAGCGCAGGCGGUUAGAUAAGUCUGAUGUGAAAGCCCCCGGCUCAACCGGGGAGGGUCAUUGGAAACUGGGAAACUUGAGUGCAGAAGAGGAGAGUGGAAUUCCACGUGUAGCGGUGAAAUGCGUAGAGAUGUGGAGGAACACCAGUGGCGAAGGCGACUCUCUGGUCUGUAACUGACGCUGAGGAGCGAAAGCGUGGGGAGCGAACAGGAUUAGAUACCCCUGUAGUCCCUGUCUCUUAUAC
This 302-nucleotide ribosomal RNA is filed under the name uncultured bacterium. RNAcentral describes it as "partial 16S ribosomal RNA". It matches the Rfam family "Bacterial small subunit ribosomal RNA", at positions 508 to 807 of the family's 1533-position model. The record is from RNAcentral.